RNAcentral lists this non-coding RNA (20 nucleotides) under Arabidopsis thaliana (thale cress). The record is from RNAcentral. Lineage: Eukaryota; Viridiplantae; Streptophyta; Magnoliopsida; Brassicales; Brassicaceae.
GGGAGUCCGGAGACGUCGGC